Molecule: unclassified non-coding RNA, 234 nt
Filed under: plant metagenome
Description: partial contains small subunit ribosomal RNA, internal transcribed spacer 1, and 5.8S ribosomal RNA
Source: RNAcentral
UUUCCGUAGGUGAACCUGCGGAAGGAUCAUUAAAGUUAUAGUCCCCCGGCCCUCUGGGCUGGGGUCUUCUAUACCACCCUUUGUUUAUUACACCUUUGUUGCUUUGGCAGGCCUGCCCUCGGGCUGCUGGCUCCGGCCGGCUCGCGUCUGCCAGAGGACCUAAACUCUGUUUGUAUAUGAAGUCUGAGUACUAUAUAAUAGUUUAAACUUUCAACAACGGAUCUCUUGGUUCUC